This 374-nucleotide ribosomal RNA is filed under the name uncultured bacterium. RNAcentral describes it as "bacterial SSU rRNA". It matches the Rfam family "Bacterial small subunit ribosomal RNA", at positions 28 to 404 of the family's 1533-position model. The record is from RNAcentral.
GACGAACGCUGGCGGCGUGCUUAACACAUGCAAGUCGAGCGGUAAGGCCCUUUCGGGGGUACACGAGCGGCGAACGGGUGAGUAACACGUGGGUGACCUGCCCUUAGCUCUGGGAUAAGCCUGGGAAACUGGGUCUAAUACCGGAUAUGACUCCAUGACGCAUGUUGUGGGGUGGAAAGCCUUGUGCGGCUAGGGAUGGGCCCGCGGCCUAUCAGCUUGUUGGUGGGGUGAUGGCCUACCAAGGCGACGACGGGUAGCCGGCCUGAGAGGGCGACCGGCCACACUGGGACUGAGACACGGCCCAGACUCCUACGGGAGGCAGCAGUGGGGAAUCUUGCGCAAUGGCGAAAGCCUGACGCAGCGACGCCGCGUGA